GACGAACGCUGGCGGCGUGCUUAACACAUGCAAGUCGAGCGGAAAGGCCACUUCGGUGGUACUCGAGCGGCGAACGGGUGAGUAACACGUGAGUAAUCUGCCCCUGGCUUUGGGAUAGCCACCGGAAACGGUGAUUAAUACCGGGUACGACCACUUCUCGCAUGGGAUGGUGGUGGAAAGUUUUUUCGGCCAGGGAUGUGCUCGCGGCCUAUCAGCUUGAUGGUGAGGUAAUGGCUCACCAUGGCUUCGACGGGUAGCCGGCCUGAGAGGGUGACCGGUCACACUGGGACUGAGACACGGCCCAGACUCCUACGGGAGGCAGCAGUGGGGAAUAUUGGACAAUGGGCGGAAGCCUGAUCCAGCAACGCCGCGUGAGGGAUGACAGCCUUCGGGUUGUAAACCUCUUUCAGCAGGGACGAAGCGCAAGUGACGGUACCUGCAGAAGAAGCACCGGCCAACUACGUGCCAGCAGCCGCGGUAA
This 481-nucleotide ribosomal RNA is filed under the name uncultured bacterium. RNAcentral's name for it is "partial 16S ribosomal RNA". It matches the Rfam family "Bacterial small subunit ribosomal RNA", at positions 28 to 523 of the family's 1533-position model. The record is from RNAcentral.